UUAAGUUAUUAAGGGCGCACGGUGGAUGCCUUGGCACUAGAAGCCGAUGAAGGACGUUACUAACGACGAUAUGCUUUGGGGAGCUGUAAGUAAGCUUUGAUCCAGAGAUUUCCGAAUGGGGAAACCCAGCAUGAGUUAUGUCAUGUUAUCGAUAUGUGAAUACAUAGCAUAUCAGAAGGCACACCCGGAGAACUGAAACAUCUUAGUACCCGGAGGAAGAGAAAGAAAAUUCGAUUCCCUUAGUAGCGGCGAGCGAAACGGGAAGAGCCCAAACCAACAAGCUUGCUUGUUGGGGUUGUAGGACACUCUAUACGGAGUUACAAAGGACGACAUUAGACGAAUCAUCUGGAAAGAUGAAUCAAAGAAGGUAAUAAUCCUGUAGUCGAAAAUGUUGUCUCUCUUGAGUGGAUCCUGAGUACGACGGAGCACGUGAAAUUCCGUCGGAAUCUGGGAGGACCAUCUCCUAAGGCUAAAUACUCUCUAGUGACCGAUAGUGAACCAGUACCGUGAGGGAAAGGUGAAAAGCACCCCGGAAGGGGAGUGAAAUAGAACCUGAAACCGUGUGCUUACAAGUAGUCAGAGCCCGUUAAUGGGUGAUGGCGUGCCUUUUGUAGAAUGAACCGGCGAGUUACGAUUUGAUGCAAGGUUAAGCAGUAAAUGUGGAGCCGUAGCGAAAGCGAGUCUGAAUAGGGCGUUUAGUAUUUGGUCGUAGACCCGAAACCAGGUGAUCUACCCUUGGUCAGGUUGAAGUUCAGGUAACACUGAAUGGAGGACCGAACCGACUUACGUUGAAAAGUGAGCGGAUGAACUGAGGGUAGCGGAGAAAUUCCAAUCGAACCUGGAGAUAGCUGGUUCUCUCCGAAAUAGCUUUAGGGCUAGCCUCAAGUGAUGAUUAUUGGAGGUAGAGCACUGUUUGGACGAGGGGCCCCUCUCGGGUUACCGAAUUCAGACAAACUCCGAAUGCCAAUUAAUUUAACUUGGGAGUCAGAACAUGGGUGAUAAGGUCCGUGUUCGAAAGGGAAACAGCCCAGACCACCAGCUAAGGUCCCAAAAUAUAUGUUAAGUGGAAAAGGAUGUGGCGUUGCCCAGACAACUAGGAUGUUGGCUUAGAAGCAGCCAUCAUUUAAAGAGUGCGUAAUAGCUCACUAGUCGAGUGACACUGCGCCGAAAAUGUACCGGGGCUAAACAUAUUACCGAAGCUGUGGAUUGUCCUUUGGACAAUGGUAGGAGAGCGUUCUAAGGGCGUUGAAGCAUGAUCGUAAGGACAUGUGGAGCGCUUAGAAGUGAGAAUGCCGGUGUGAGUAGCGAAAGACGGGUGAGAAUCCCGUCCACCGAUUGACUAAGGUUUCCAGAGGAAGGCUCGUCCGCUCUGGGUUAGUCGGGUCCUAAGCUGAGGCCGACAGGCGUAGGCGAUGGAUAACAGGUUGAUAUUCCUGUACCACCUAUAAUCGUUUUAAUCGAUGGGGGGACGCAGUAGGAUAGGCGAAGCGUGCGAUUGGAUUGCACGUCUAAGCAGUAAGGCUGAGUAUUAGGCAAAUCCGGUACUCGUUAAGGCUGAGCUGUGAUGGGGAGAAGACAUUGAGUCUUCGAGUCGUUGAUUUCACACUGCCGAGAAAAGCCUCUAGAUAGAAAAUAGGUGCCCGUACCGCAAACCGACACAGGUAGUCAAGAUGAGAAUUCUAAGGUGAGCGAGCGAACUCUCGUUAAGGAACUCGGCAAAAUGACCCCGUAACUUCGGGAGAAGGGGUGCUCUUUAGGGUUAACGCCCAGAAGAGCCGCAGUGAAUAGGCCCAAGCGACUGUUUAUCAAAAACACAGGUCUCUGCUAAACCGUAAGGUGAUGUAUAGGGGCUGACGCCUGCCCGGUGCUGGAAGGUUAAGAGGAGUGGUUAGCUUCUGCGAAGCUACGAAUCGAAGCCCCAGUAAACGGCGGCCGUAACUAUAACGGUCCUAAGGUAGCGAAAUUCCUUGUCGGGUAAGUUCCGACCCGCACGAAAGGCGUAACGAUUUGGGCACUGUCUCAACGAGAGACUCGGUGAAAUCAUAGUACCUGUGAAGAUGCAGGUUACCCGCGACAGGACGGAAAGACCCCGUGGAGCUUUACUGUAGCCUGAUAUUGAAAUUCGGCACAGCUUGUACAGGAUAGGUAGGAGCCUUUGAAACGUGAGCGCUAGCUUACGUGGAGGCGCUGGUGGGAUACUACCCUAGCUGUGUUGGCUUUCUAACCCGCACCACUUAUCGUGGUGGGAGACAGUGUCAGGCGGGCAGUUUGACUGGGGCGGUCGCCUCCUAAAAGGUAACGGAGGCGCUCAAAGGUUCCCUCAGAAUGGUUGGAAAUCAUUCAUAGAGUGUAAAGGCAUAAGGGAGCUUGACUGCGAGACCUACAAGUCGAGCAGGGUCGAAAGACGGACUUAGUGAUCCGGUGGUUCCGCAUGGAAGGGCCAUCGCUCAACGGAUAAAAGCUACCCCGGGGAUAACAGGCUUAUCUCCCCCAAGAGUUCACAUCGACGGGGAGGUUUGGCACCUCGAUGUCGGCUCAUCGCAUCCUGGGGCUGUAGUCGGUCCCAAGGGUUGGGCUGUUCGCCCAUUAAAGCGGUACGCGAGCUGGGUUCAGAACGUCGUGAGACAGUUCGGUCCCUAUCCGUCGUGGGCGUAGGAAAUUUGAGAGGAGCUGUCCUUAGUACGAGAGGACCGGGAUGGACAUACCUCUGGUGUACCAGUUGUCGUGCCAACGGCAUAGCUGGGUAGCUAUGUGUGGACGGGAUAAGUGCUGAAAGCAUCUAAGCAUGAAGCCCCCCUCAAGAUGAGAUUUCCCAACUUCGGUUAUAAGAUCCCUCAAAGAUGAUGAGGUUAAUAGGUUCGAGGUGGAAGCAUGGUGACAUGUGGAGCUGACGAAUACUAAUCGAUCGAAG
This 2911-nucleotide ribosomal RNA is filed under the name Staphylococcus aureus T84595. Its description in RNAcentral is "bacterial LSU rRNA". It matches the Rfam family "Bacterial large subunit ribosomal RNA". Lineage: Bacteria; Bacillati; Bacillota; Bacilli; Caryophanales; Staphylococcaceae. The record is from RNAcentral.